Molecule: long non-coding RNA, 393 nt
Organism: Manis pentadactyla (Chinese pangolin)
Lineage: Eukaryota; Metazoa; Chordata; Mammalia; Pholidota; Manidae
Exons: 3
Source: RefSeq, a predicted model, not a curated record
UGAACCAGUACUGAACAGAUUCGAGUCUGUCUUUUCCAUGCUGUUCUGUGUCACUGUUGGCAGCAUGCUGCCUGGAUAUAUUUCCAGAAAAAAACUGAGUCCUAAGAUAUUACUUUUCAGAGUUCUUGAAAUAUAUUGUCAAAUUGCCUUCCAGAAAGUCUAGAUCAAUAUACAAUCAUACUUACACAAGAGCAUCUGUUUGCCUACACCCUCAAUGAAACUGAAGACUAUCAAUAACUUUUGUCUUUGGCAAUAUCCGGGAGACCUGGAUCACACACAGCAGCUGACAGGAGCCUCACAAGCAGGUCUUGUACUUUAUCCAUGCUGUCCCCUAGAUUCAGCAAUCCCUCUUGAAUAAUACUCAGGUUUGGAACAUCAGUAUUUCCAUUAAAG